CCUACGGGGGGCAGCAGUGAGGAAUAUUGGUCAAUGGACGCAAGUCUGAACCAGCCAUGCCGUGUGCAGGAAGACGGCUCUAUGAGUUGUAAACUGCUUUUGUACGAGGGUAAACGCAGAUACGCGUAUCUGUCUGAAAGUAUCGUACGAAUAAGGAUCGGCUAACUCCGUGCCAGCAGCCGCGGUAAUACGGAGGAUUCAAGCGUUAUCCGGAUUUAUUGGGUUUAAAGGGUGCGUAGGCGGUCCGGAAAGUCAGCGGUAAAAGCCCGGGGCUCAACCCCGGCGAGCCGUUGAAACUGUCGGAC
This 305-nucleotide ribosomal RNA is filed under the name uncultured bacterium. RNAcentral's name for it is "bacterial SSU rRNA". It matches the Rfam family "Bacterial small subunit ribosomal RNA", at positions 338 to 641 of the family's 1533-position model. The record is from RNAcentral.